CCCUAUGGGGUGCCGCAGGUGGAGGUGGGGAAUCUCACGGCGCCGAAUGGAAGGAUUUGAUGUGGAGGACCUUGAACUUUACCGUGCUGGUGGGUUUUCUCUGGUGGCUUCUGGCCGCGAAGAUCCGUGAUUUCUUCGCUGGUCGCAGAGCGGACAUUAAAUCAACGGCGGAAGCAGCAGAAGCAGCUAAAGCGGAUGCCAAGAAAAAGAACGAUGAAUACGAUAAUAAACUGACGAAGGCUACAGACGAGAUAGCAGGUAUAGCAGAAAGCAUCAAGACUCAGGGACUGGCCGAAAAAGAAAGAAUCAUAGAAGAUGCCAAAAGGGCCGCUAUAAAAAUCAAAGAGGAUGCACAGGCCAGAAUGGAGCAGGAAUUUAAAAAAGCGAGCAAUGAAUUGGCGGGAGGGC
This 408-nucleotide ribosomal RNA is filed under the name uncultured prokaryote. Its description in RNAcentral is "partial 16S ribosomal RNA". The record is from RNAcentral.